Molecule: non-coding RNA, 71 nt
Organism: Stachybotrys chartarum IBT 40288
Lineage: Eukaryota; Fungi; Ascomycota; Sordariomycetes; Hypocreales; Stachybotryaceae
Source: Rfam
GGGGAUAUAAUUCAAUGGUAGAAUCCUGACUUUGCACGUCAGUAGUCUAAGUUCGAGUCUUAGUAUCUCCA